This 299-nucleotide ribosomal RNA is filed under the name Acanella dispar. RNAcentral's name for it is "partial 16S ribosomal RNA". It matches the Rfam family "Bacterial large subunit ribosomal RNA", at positions 2089 to 2473 of the family's 2925-position model. Lineage: Eukaryota; Metazoa; Cnidaria; Anthozoa; Scleralcyonacea; Keratoisididae. The record is from RNAcentral.
CCCUAUCGAGCUUUACUGGAUACCGAUAGCGUUAAUUUAGAAUGAUCGAUACUAAGUAUCCUAAUUCUAAGUUAAUAAUUUUUGUUGGUAGGACAGUUUAGUUGGGGCGACUACCUUUGAAUAAGAAACGAAGGCGAGCUUAUGGUAUUAUUAAAAUCUCAUUAGCCUCCCAGUGAGGGGGACACCCCUAGCUGGCACAAGCCCUCAUAGUAUAUUAUAUGCGGAAGGGAUGUGGGCGAUAGUGACCCGAUAUGAUUAUCCAAAAUAAAUAUCGAAAGCGGAUAAAAGCUACCGUAGGG